RNAcentral lists this ribosomal RNA (514 nucleotides) under uncultured bacterium. RNAcentral describes it as "bacterial SSU rRNA". It matches the Rfam family "Bacterial small subunit ribosomal RNA", at positions 15 to 518 of the family's 1533-position model. The record is from RNAcentral.
GAUCCUGGCUUAGGAUGAACGCUAGCUACAGGCUUAACACAUGCAAGUCGAGGGCAGCAUUAUCGAAGCUUGCUUGAUAGAUGGCGACCGGCGCACGGGUGAGUAACGCGUAUCCAACCUUCCCUAUAGUAGAGAAUAGCCCGGCGAAAGUCGGAUUAAUGCUCUAUGUUGUAUUUAGAAGACAUCUGAAGAAUACCAAAGGUUUACCGCUAUAGGAUGGGGGAUGCGUCUGAUUAGGUAGUCGGCGGGGUAACGGCCCACCGAGCCAUCGAUCAGUAGGGGUUCUGAGAGGAAGGUCCCCCACAUUGGAACUGAGACACGGUCCAAACUCCUACGGGAGGCAGCAGUGAGGAAUAUUGGUCAAUGGACGAGAGUCUGAACCAGCCAAGUAGCCGCGCAGGAUGACGGCCCUAUGGGUUGUAAACUGCUUUUAUACAGGGAUAAAGUGGGGAACGUGUUCCCUUUUGUAGGUACUGUAUGAAUAAGGACCGGCUAAUUCCGUGCCAGCAGCCGC